AAGAUAAAUCUGUCUUUUCUAGGUAAAUUCAUGCUGGCCAUGAUGAUGGCUCAGGGCUGCUGAUUCUCCUGGAGGAGAUUCUACUGAAUUGUGAUUUUCAACAUCUUGUUCUUGGCAUCUAAAAAAGAAGUCAGGUGAACAGGACAAAGUAGAAGUUGAGGUGCCUCAAGAGAUGUCAUGGUAGCUCAAACCCACAUAAAAUCACAUCUGGAGCCUCCAAGGUACCCUGCUGAAAGAGCUGAUGCAUUUCCAUGACAAUGGGGCUGACAUGUGCUUUAACUGGACCCAAAGAGGCUGCAGUGUAGGGAGAGCUCCAGGCACAUGGUUGUCCCCCAGCAACAAGGUUUGAACAGGAAAGGACCUGGGGUCGAAAGCCCUCCCAGGAUGACAAGUAGAGAAGUGUGUCUACUGAAGCCUAAACCCAGCAGAGAAGAAGGAGAACUGAGUAAAGCAAAUGAGAAACUGAGUCCUGCUGAUGAAGAAAGGUCCUGAAUUGAGGAGAAACAGAAUGCUUACACUUACCUGUCCCUAGAUUUUCAGUCACAUAAGCUAAUUACUCAUCUUUCAGUUAAAGGUAUUUGAGAUUAAAUUUGCUUUCACUUUUAACUUCUAGUUGGAAAAUAAACCUAACUAAAAUUUUCA
Molecule: long non-coding RNA, 642 nt
Filed under: Sus scrofa (pig)
Lineage: Eukaryota; Metazoa; Chordata; Mammalia; Artiodactyla; Suidae
Description: lncRNA (ENSSSCG00070014072.1)
Source: RNAcentral